AACCCAGUGCAAUUCGUUGCACUAUCGUUAACUGAAUACAUAGGUUAACGAGGCGAACCGGGGGAACUGAAACAUCUAAGUACCCCGAGGAAAAGAAAUCAACCGAGAUUCCCCCAGUAGCGGCGAGCGAACGGGGAGCAGCCCGGAGUCUGAAUCAGCUUGUGUGUUAGUGGAAGCGUCUGGAAAGUCGCAGGGUACAGGGUGAUACUCCCGUACACUAAAACACACAGGCUGUGAACUCGAAGAGUAGGGCGGGACACGUGGUAUCCUGUCUGAAUAUGGGGGGACCAUCCUCCAAGGCUAAAUACUCCUGACUGACCGAUAGUGAACCAGUACCGUGAGGGAAAGGCGAAAAGAACCCCGGCGAGGGGAGUGAAAAAGAACCUGAAACCGUGU
RNAcentral lists this ribosomal RNA (396 nucleotides) under Klebsiella oxytoca. RNAcentral describes it as "partial 23S ribosomal RNA". It matches the Rfam family "Bacterial large subunit ribosomal RNA", at positions 125 to 561 of the family's 2925-position model. Lineage: Bacteria; Pseudomonadati; Pseudomonadota; Gammaproteobacteria; Enterobacterales; Enterobacteriaceae. The record is from RNAcentral.